GGGUAAGUCCUAUACAACCAGCUCCUAUAGAAUCCCCCAGGGUGGGAACACAGCAAGGGUAUAUGGUCGUAGCGGUGUGAUAUAGAAAGCUUACCCUUU
RNAcentral lists this signal recognition particle RNA (99 nucleotides) under Flavobacteriaceae bacterium. Its description in RNAcentral is "signal recognition particle sRNA small type". It matches the Rfam family "Bacteroidales small SRP". From Rfam's summary of the family: The non-coding component of the signal recognition particle in Bacteroides RNAcentral also lists the same sequence under 2 other names. The record is from RNAcentral. Lineage: Bacteria; Pseudomonadati; Bacteroidota; Flavobacteriia; Flavobacteriales; Flavobacteriaceae.